RNAcentral lists this ribosomal RNA (283 nucleotides) under uncultured archaeon. Its description in RNAcentral is "partial 16S ribosomal RNA". It matches the Rfam family "Archaeal small subunit ribosomal RNA", at positions 723 to 1001 of the family's 1478-position model. The record is from RNAcentral.
UCUAUUAGAUACCCCCCGGUAGUCCUAGCCGUAAACGAUGCGCGCUAGGUGUCGGGCACGGUGCGACCGUCCUCGGUGCCGUAGGGAAGCCGUGUAAGNGCAGCCGACCUGGGAAGUACGGCCGCAAGGCUGAAACUUAAAGGAAUUGGCGGGGGAGCACCACAACGCGUGGAGCCUGCGGUUUAAUUGGAUUCAACGCCGGACAUCUCACCGGGGGCGACAGCAAUAUGAUGGCCAGGUUGACGAUCUUGCUUGACUAGCUGAGAGGGGGGUGCAUGGCUGA